GAUGAAGAACGUAGCGAAAUGCGAUAAGUAAUGUGAAUUGCAGAAUUCAGUGAAUCAUCGAAUCUUUGAACGCACAUUGUGCCCGCCAGUAUUCUGGCGGGCAUGCCUGUUCGAGCGUCAUUUCAACCCUCAAGCCCCAGCGGCCUGGUGUUGGGGACCAGCGACCUCGCCCGAGCCCGCCCUCCGGGGCGCGUGCCCGGUGCGUCCGCCGCCCCCGAAAUGAAUUGGCGGCCUCGUCGCGGCCUCCUCUGCGUAGUAGCACAACCUCGCAAGCGGGAGCGCGACGCGGCCACUGCCGUAAAACGCCCAACUUUUUUAGAGUUGACCUCGGAUCAGGUAGGAAUACCCGCUGAACUUAAGCAUAUCAAUAAGCGGAGGA
This 379-nucleotide unclassified non-coding RNA is filed under the name soil metagenome. RNAcentral's name for it is "partial contains 5.8S ribosomal RNA, internal transcribed spacer 2, and large subunit ribosomal RNA". The stretch from base 1 to 120 matches the Rfam family "5.8S ribosomal RNA", at positions 35 to 154 of the family's 154-position model. The record is from RNAcentral.